This 437-nucleotide ribosomal RNA is filed under the name uncultured bacterium. Its description in RNAcentral is "partial 16S ribosomal RNA". It matches the Rfam family "Bacterial small subunit ribosomal RNA", at positions 28 to 507 of the family's 1533-position model. The record is from RNAcentral.
AGCGAACGCUGGCGGCAUGCUUAACACAUGCAAGUCGCGCGGGUGGUUUCGGCCAUCAGCGGCGGACGGGUGCGUAUCGCGUAGGAAUGUAUCCCGAGGUGGGGGACAACCCUGGGAAACUGGGGCUAAUACCGCAUGGUGCCUGUGGGUCAAAGCCUUAGGGCGCCUUGGGAGCAGCCUGCGUCCGAUUAGGUAGUUGGUGGGGUAAAGGCCUACCAAGCCUGCGAUCGGUAGCUGGUCUGAGAGGACGAUCAGCCACACUGGGACUGAGACACGGCCCAGAAUCCUACGGGAGGCAGCAGUGGGGAAUAUUGGACAAUGGGCGCAAGCAUGAUCCAGCAAUGCCGCGUGGGUGAAGAAGGUCUUCGGAUUGUAAAGCCCUUUCGGCGGGGACGAUGAUGACGGUACCCGCAGAAGAAGCCCCGGCUAACUUCGUG